UUUUUAAAGACUUGUGUGUGUGAGUGUGU
This 29-nucleotide non-coding RNA is filed under the name Rattus norvegicus (Norway rat). Lineage: Eukaryota; Metazoa; Chordata; Mammalia; Rodentia; Muridae. The record is from RNAcentral.